This 371-nucleotide ribosomal RNA is filed under the name uncultured bacterium. RNAcentral describes it as "bacterial SSU rRNA". It matches the Rfam family "Bacterial small subunit ribosomal RNA", at positions 527 to 896 of the family's 1533-position model. The record is from RNAcentral.
GUAGGGUGCGAGCGUUGCCCGGAUUUAUUGGGCGUAAAGGGCGCGUAGGCGGCCACGCACGUCCGUUGUGAAAUCGCUCGGCUCAACUGGGCGGGGUCAGCGGAUACGGCGUGGCUGGAGCAAGCUAGGGGGCAAUGGAAUUCCCGGUGUAGUGGUGGAAUGCGUAGAUAUCGGGAGGAACACCAGUGGCGAAGGCGGUUGCCUGGAGCUUUGCUGACGCUGAUGCGCGAAAGCGUGGGGAGCGAUCCGGAUUAGAUACCCGGGUAGUCCACGCCGUAAACGAUGUCGACUAGGUGUCGGGGGUAUCGACCCCCUCGGCGCCGCAGCUAACGCAUUAAGUCGACCGCCUGGGGACUACGGCCGCAAGGCUA